Long non-coding RNA from Dendroctonus ponderosae (mountain pine beetle), 592 nucleotides. RefSeq lists it as uncharacterized. Lineage: Eukaryota; Metazoa; Arthropoda; Insecta; Coleoptera; Curculionidae. The transcript has 2 exons. The record is from RefSeq and is a predicted model, not a curated record.
CUGACAAAUAUGACAAAUCGCUUAAGCGUAACAUACUGCAAUUCUCACUUUUAAGCCUUUUUCCAAACGACAGUCUAAUCGAAGAAAAAUACGUACUAAAUUUACCUCCUGCUGAACGAGAAACUGAUCUUUGAAUAAAGAUUGAACCAAUUCGGAGACAAUUUAUCUCGGCGUAAUAACUUCUUAACAGAGCAGCCAUGACACCAGAAUGUUCCUUUGGGUCCUCACCGAUGUGCUCUGAUUGCGCUAGCAGCUAUUUUCCUAACACUGGCGACACAGGUUUCGUAACUUUAAAUAUAUGCAUCCGUGCAAAUAAUACUACUUUAUAUACUUUAAAGCUUUUAAAGUGCAGAGAUCUAGUUGCCGGUAGGAGUUUAAACGUUUCGCGAAGCGAUAUUUUACCUAGAAUUUUUUAAAUAAAAAGAUUAAACGAUAUUAAAAGUUUGUGCUAUUUGUACAUUAUUUUUGAAGUGCAAAAUUUCAUCAGCAAUCAACGAAAAAUCAUCAUCAGAAGUACUCUUCUGGCGUAGCGAAUUUAUAUAAACUUUCAGCGUAAUCAUGUUUUGAUGGAUUGAUUAAAACUUGAAAAGAA